GGAAGUAAAAGUCGUAAUAGGGUUUCCGUAGGUGAACCUGCGGAAGGAUCAUUAUUGUAUAACCGAGGUGCGAGGGCUGUCGCUGACCCGAAAGGUCGUGCACGCCCGAGUGCCCUCACACACAUCCAUCUCACCCCUAUGUGCACCACCGCGUGGGUCCCCCUUUGGCUUGUUCGGAGGGGGGCUUACGUUUUCACACAAACUUUGUAUGCAGUGUAGAAUGUAUUUUUUGUUUUUGCGAUCACGCAAUCAAUACAACUUUCAACAACGGAUCUCUUGGCUCUC
Molecule: unclassified non-coding RNA, 285 nt
Filed under: plant metagenome
Description: partial contains small subunit ribosomal RNA, internal transcribed spacer 1, and 5.8S ribosomal RNA
Rfam family: Eukaryotic small subunit ribosomal RNA (bases 1-54)
Source: RNAcentral